GUAGGGUGCGAGCGUUAAUCGGAAUUACUGGGCGUAAAGCGUGCGCAGGCGGUUCGCUAAGUCUGAUGUGAAAGCCCCGGGCUCAACCUGGGAACUGCAUUGGAAAACUGGCGAGCUUGAGUGUGGCAGAGGGGGGUGGAAUUCCACGUGUAGCAGUGAAAUGCGUAGAGAUGUGGACGAACACCGAUGGCGAAGGCAGCCCCCUGGGCUAACACUGACGCUCAGGCACGAAAGCGAGGGGUGCAAACAGGAUUAGAUACCCUGGUAGUCCACGCCCUAAACUAUGUCAACUGGGUGUUGGGGAAGCGAUUCCUCACGUACCGUAGCUAACGCGUGAAGUUGACCGCCUGGGGAGUACGGCCGCAAGGUUA
RNAcentral lists this ribosomal RNA (371 nucleotides) under uncultured bacterium. RNAcentral's name for it is "bacterial SSU rRNA". It matches the Rfam family "Bacterial small subunit ribosomal RNA", at positions 527 to 896 of the family's 1533-position model. The record is from RNAcentral.